This 503-nucleotide long non-coding RNA is filed under the name Capra hircus (goat). Its description in RNAcentral is "lncRNA (ENSCHIG00000007502.1)". The record is from RNAcentral. Lineage: Eukaryota; Metazoa; Chordata; Mammalia; Artiodactyla; Bovidae.
UAGUGAAAUGAAAGUGAAGUCACUCAGUCGUGUCCAACUCUUAGCGACCCCAUGGACUGCAGCCCACCAGGCUCCUCUGUUUAUGGGAUUUUCCAGGCAAGAGCACUGGAGUGGGGUGCCAUUGCCUUCUCCAAAUCUGCAUAGUAGGAUAGCACAUAAUGGAAUAUAUGCCAACUCUUCACAUGGUCAUAAGAUGUUUCCAUGCUGCCCUUUUGCUACUAAUCAACAACAGAGAAUCCCCUGUGCAGUUUUUGCUGGAACGUCUGUGGAUUACUUGCCUCGUAACAGUAACCUAAAUAGCAGUCCAUUUGUUGACUCCUCUGUGGUAUAACUGCUAUCAUCAUACCAAGAUCACUCUGGCAAAACCUUCAGCUGUCUUUACAUCAAUUUCCCUGGAACUUCUGAUUUUCCAGAAAUUUUCCAAAGUAUAUAUUUGUCAUUAAGUUCUAGAAAAUUGUUGAAUUUUGUGUCCCUUGAUUAAAACAGUGAUUUUUUUGCACUCC